This 4942-nucleotide long non-coding RNA is filed under the name Heterocephalus glaber (naked mole-rat). RNAcentral's name for it is "lncRNA (ENSHGLG00100047751.1)". Lineage: Eukaryota; Metazoa; Chordata; Mammalia; Rodentia; Bathyergidae. The record is from RNAcentral.
GCCCUGGCGUGCGCGUGGGAGGGAGAGCCGCAGCCGUCGCUGGCGCCGCCCCGCCGCUGUCCGCUUCUCCUCAGCCUAGCGCUCAGCCGCGGCCGGAUCCUCUUUUAUUGCCAGUUCAGGGAAUCCAAGUGGGUUCUUGGACUACAAUGGAAAGUAGAAAGAGACACUAGAAGUAUUUUAAGUUGUCAUUAGAUUUCUUCGGAGUUACUGUUGCCUUUUGAGCUGGCUUGAGGCUGUCCGUCAGACUGAACCGAGAAGGCAUCACUGGGUGUGAAGAUGUGCUGAGGGAGUUUGGAGUGGUAAAGUAGAGGAGAAUAAUUGAGGUAAUGAGAUUUUUGUCUAGUGCUAGCCCUCAGCAUCUCAGGUGUAGUCUGGAAGUAGUCCGAGUAUUUGUUUGAACUCAUUUAGCUGGGUUCUUUCUAGGCUGGCUUACAGGAAGGAUAACGUGAGCUGGUGAUACUGUUAAGAGAUUGAUUUGAACCGUGAACUUUACAGUUCAACUCGGAAAAUGAUUGUCGAGUACCUGUUAAGUGCCAGCCAUGAUUCUAAUUGCUUACGUAGAUGUGACAAUAAACAAAGAGAAAGUCCUACAUAGAGUGGGAAAACAGAACAGUAACCACAAUAAGUACAUUAUGUCAUUAUUGGAAGGUGGGAAGUGCAGUGUGGAAAAAUUAUGUGGUAGCAUAGAGUGAGAUUGAGCCUCAUCAUGAACCAGAUUUGAGCCAAAUAUGAUGGAGAUGAAUAUAUGAGCCAAGCAGAUAGCUGGGAGAAGGAGCCUUGUAGGUGAGUGAAGAGCAAUGCAAAGGGAACAGAAGGUGUCUAGAGUGGAUGUCUGAGGAAGCUGGGUUGUUACUGUGGAAUGAAUGUCACUCAGACUUCAUGACAGCAUGUAACAUAGGAAUAGACAUGGGGAGAGAACCUGCUGGAAGGCUGUGGAGGGACACAGAUGUGCACCAGAGGUAGUGUGGGCUAGGGUAGCAGUAGUAGAGAUGGUAAAAAGUAGAUGGACCCUGGAAAAAGUAGGUGGACCCUGGAUGUAUUUUGAAGGUAUAACCAAUAGGAUUUGCUGACAAAUGGGAUGUAGGGGAUGAGAAGAGGUGAGGCGGGGUGGUACAGUUGACUAUGAGGCAUGUAAUCUGGGCAAUUAGGAGGAUACUGCAGGGCUGUGGCUGGAACUUAGCGUACAGGAACGGGUGAAGAAUUCAUUUUCAGGCAUUUUUAAGUUUGACAUGUCUCUUAGGGAAUCCCAGUAAAGAUGUCAUGCAGCCAUCUGAACCUUGGAAAAGAAGAAAUAGAAAUAAAUGUAUGCUAAGGAUUACUAGAUAAUCAUCGAGGGAGUGAGCAUAGAGAAGAUGGCCAAAAGUGGAGCUAUGGAUCACUCUACCGUUUAAUGGUCAGGAGGAGAGCUAGCAGCCCAGAGCAGGUAUAAGGAAAACCAGGAGCAUAGACUGUCAUGGAAAAAAGGGAUGGAAAUGCUUCAAGAAGAAAGAUGCCUUCAAGUCUGUCAAGUGCAGCAGAAAGAUGAAGGUGAGGGUUGAGGUUUGACCUUUGGAUUUAGCAAGUAGGAAGUAAUAUUAAUGGUGUUUUAGAGCAGUUUUAGGAAAGUGGUGAGAAGUCUGAUUGAAAUACAGUUAGACGUGGCUAGUUCCUACUCUGAAAUGGGAAGGCAGUAGUGAAGUGAAGAUUAUAUUUUGGUUGCCUUAGGUCUAAGGAAGUAAAAACCAGCAUCAUACUGUUAAAGAAAUCUCGGAAAGAAAUACACAGAGACACAGAAUUUGGAUAAAAUAAUAAAAUUUCUUCUCGGGAGUGAGUGGGAACACCAGAAACAGUCUGAUCAGUAUCCUUGCCCUUUUUUCAGCAUUUCCCUUUUUAUAUCCUUUUUAGCCAUUAUCUCAUCCCUAGUGGUCUUUGAUGUGUAAAUACAAUUCCAGUUCCUAUUUACAAGUCACAGACACAAGAUAGGCCAUAUACAUUAUAAAUUCAACCUGGCCUGGUAACUUUGUUAGGUUAAUGAAGUUACAGGUUAGAGUCAGAUAAUCCUCACCUUAAAUAAGGAGUUACGGGAAAAGCAAAUCUUAAAAGAACACAUUACUUAUUUUGCUUCUACAACUACCUUAAUAAUCAGUCUAUUAAGUUAUCUAAAACUUUUCUGUAUCAAUACUUACUAGCACUAGACUAGUGUGUAUGGGGUGCUGUACAACUAAACAUCCUGUGUCAGGUAAAUGAUGUUAUCACUAUUUCGUAGGUGCGAAAACUCAGGUUUUGAGAUGAAAACUUUCUAAAGAGUAGCUGGCCCAUGUUGGAGCUAGGAAGCAGGGUAUUACAUCCCAGCUCUCUUUGACCUUGCAGUCUGUCCUGUACUACUGUGCUACCUUGGGUGGGAAGAUCAUGAACUCUCCAUACUGUCAGGUAAAAGGGCCGAAAACCAAGACCAGACCAGGCCACAACAAGCCAUUAUUAGGGGAAUAGAUCUGCCGGGCUGUCUCUGACCAAAGGAGAGACAAAAGCAAUAUGGCCUGGGCAGGGAGAAUCUUUUAUAGAGACUGGGGUGGGGUAUGUAGGGGCUGAGGUGGGGUUAAGUGAGGUAGUGACUAGGGAAUGGAGGAGCCGGUGAUGUCACUAGGUGGUAGGAGGUGAGUGAGUAGUAAGUUACUUUCUAGGGGGGAACGGCCAUACUGGGAAGAAGGGUUUAUUCUUUGGUGGGAGCAACCAUCUUGGCAUGAUGUCACACAGGGGAGGGGGCAAGGCAUGAUAGGAAGAGGGCAGCUACUAUACAUAAUAGCUGCUGAAGUAGUGGGAGACCUAUCAUUCCAGGCUUUUGUUUUAUGAUAGUUGGACGAAGGUCUCUUCUCCUGGAGCUGCUUCCUGCUGACAAGGGUUGAAGAUUGGGGCUAGACUUGGAUCUGAUGAGGCCCAUGGCAAGUGGGGACCUCUUCCUUUUGUCGUACUGGCUGGUACCCUGCCGUGAUGAACUCCAUGACUGCCUGAUUGGUGAAUGCCCUCAAUCAUUGCUGCAAGAAAUUUUGAAAACAGCGAACCAGGCACAGUCCAAAACAGAGAAUUAAACAGAUAAUACUGAGGGGUCCCAAGAGUAGUAAUAGCCAGGGGAGCCAUGAGCUCCAGGAACCAAACGUACCCCACCAUUGAUUAGUCCCUUGGGGGCCAUAUGUAUCUGGCCCAUUGAGUUUUAAUAUUUUUCAUUUGACAUGUAAUUUCUUUUUUCAUUAUUUACCUAGGUUUUACAGAGACAGCUGGAUGUUUAGGGGCUCAUUUGUUAUAGAAGUAAGAGACUGUUAUAGAAGUAAGAGAUCAUAGCUCCUGUUCUAAGGGCCCAUGUGUCAUGUCCUUGCUCUUAGAGAAUGAGUGGAAAAGUGAUAAACACAAUUUAUAUAAUCUUUAUAAUCUUUUUUUUUUUUGGAAUAUGAAAGGUGUAUGUAACUGAGCACAUGUCUUCUGGAGGCCAACAUACUGAUGAGUAUCGUGUUACUAUGAACCUGACUUGUCCUUUAAAUUCAAGGCCAUGAAAACACACAUUUUAGGUUGAUAGUUCCAGCAAAGCCAUGGAAUAGUUGUGUAAAAGACAGUUUUAUUCCUGUAUCUCUCAGUUUUUGGAGGCCUCCUAGAUAUAUUUAAAAAUAAAGAGAACUGAUAACCUCAACAAGGACACUAGCCAACUUAAGGGGAUCAAGUGUAACAUAAAAGGCUUGAUCUUUUUAGACACGAGUAGGUAUCCAGGAAAUAAAAGCACAAUGAGGGAAGAAGCAUCAUAAACAGAGAACAAGGAUGUACGUUAUUUUAAAAGGAAUAAAUCUUGUAGCUGCUUGGUAUAGAACUUAUCCUGACUGUGGCUGACAAGCAGGUGAUUUUUUCCCAAUACUCUUACUUUAUGGUUUUUUGUUUUUUGUUUUUGAUCACUACACGAUAGUUAAUUAGUUAUCACAGAAUCAGAAAAAUACUUAACCUAAAAGGAGAGACCUGGAGACCAGUGGUUUCUAGGAUUAGACACCUGUAAAGAACUUCUUUUAAUUUUUCUGGAAAGAAUCUGUACACACUUGUAGCUAAUUAAUGAUUUUCCCUUCUAUUUAGUACCCAAAGUUUUGUCUUUUUGAAAUGGCUGUGUCAUGAGUGAACCAAAAGAUUUUAAUGGGUGGGCUAUGUCUUAAUUUUUCUGAAGUCUAGCUUUGUUAUUAUGUCAUUGUUUUAUACCUCUUUUGGUUAUUUUUUCUGCUGAGUGUUUAAGACCAAGUUAAAGUGAGACCUGUGUCAGUCAAUAUGAACCUGUUGUUAUCCAUCAAGGUCAGUUAAGUCUCCCCGGGCCAUUACUUUAGAACCAUAUAUAGAGCCUCUCUGCUGCUUUGUCAGUGUCAGCCAUCUGGAUGGGUCAUGGCCUUACUUGACCAAGUUGUUUUCAGUGAAAUCAUGGGAGAUUUUUUCUUGGUGACCCUCCCUUGGCACACAGUACAUUGUCCUCUGGUGUCCAGCAAUCUCCCUGAUUAGGAGGUUGAGUGACUUAGCAAAGACGUAGGACCCUGUAGAGAAGGUUUCCUCAUGUCCUGGAUCUUUGUUGACCUUGAGGGGCCAGGGCCAAAAUAUUGGCUGUCCUCAUAGCCCAGUUACCUUUUUAGUUUUGGUCUCCAAACUUUAGUUGUUGAACACCCAGAAGAGAAGGUCAAUAGCAUUAGCAUUGUAACAAGAGUAAUGAGUUUAACUAUUAUGAUUUUACCUGAAUAACAAGCAUUUUGGAAUUUAAAUAAAGAGAACUGUUAUUGUUAUCAGUCAUGGUUGUUUUAGUAGUUGAAUUCCUGUAGAAUAUUAACAGAAAAAGAGCCACAAAUAAUAUUUUAACAUGACAAUUAUGAUGACUUUACCUUUGUAACACAUUUAAAUGUCCAUCUUGAUAUAAAAUAGCCAUUGUUAAACACUCAUUUUUUAAAAAAAAAAA